GUCCCAGCUGUAAACGAUGGUAACUAGAUGUGGGAGGUAUCGACCCCUUCCGUGUCGUCGCUAACGCUUUAAGUUACCCGCCUGGGGAGUACGGCCGCAAGGUUAAAACUCAAAGGAAUUGACGGGGGCCCGCACAAGCGGUGGAGCAUGUGGUUUAAUUCGACGCUACGCGAAGAACCUUACCUGGGCUCGAACGACUGGUAGUAGUCCGAUUGAAAGAUUGGGCGACCCGCAAGGGAGCCAGCCGAGGUGCUGCAUGGCUGUCGU
This 267-nucleotide ribosomal RNA is filed under the name uncultured bacterium. RNAcentral's name for it is "partial 16S ribosomal RNA". It matches the Rfam family "Bacterial small subunit ribosomal RNA", at positions 793 to 1055 of the family's 1533-position model. The record is from RNAcentral.